AAGGGUGGCAAUACUGUGAUCCUCCUAAAAUAACCUUGCAACUCCCCUUCCCCAUGAUCCUCUUUUGGGUCAGGACCCCCAGUUUGAGAAAUGCUGGUCUCCCCCGUGAAAUCUGUAUAGUGUAAAAGUACGUACACACAAGACUAGAUUUCACAGUCCGUGACGCAUUUUUCAUGACCAUGAAUUUGGUAGGGCUCUACUCAUACUCCUGUUUUAUAACUUUUCUCUCUACCUGAGCUCUAAUUGGCUUAGUUCUCAAAUUGUGAAUAUUUGACAACACUCACCAUGCAAACUUACUCUUCAGCUCAUGGGAAAAUACUGAUAUGCCCAAUAUCUGCCCACCCUUGCUUCUGGGUGGUUCUGGACACUUAAAGUAAAUGGCCUCGCUCUGUCUCCUUGCAUGUGUUCAUAGACAGAUACAAACAGAAAUCCAUUAACUUCUCAACUGCCUCCCUCUCUCUCUCUCAACAAGUAAAAUAGUGCAGUGCAAAAGGCAUGUGGGUUACAUGAACAGAAGUCUUGGACGGUUGUUAGUUCUUUCGUUUUUCUUGGGGUAGGAGAGGGCGGGUGAGUUAUGUAACACAGCAGAAGGAACAGUAUACGCAACCAGAAAGGAGCAACAAUGGUGUCAAAGUAGGAUACUGUGAAGAAGAGACAAUGUUCUUCAGAGUGCAACUUCUAGUGUUGGCUUCAACACCUGGGAACUGGAAAAUAAUUGGCCAUGGCUGCAGGUCAUAAAACCGUAUCUGGGAAUAUUUUCAAGAAACUCCUGUACCCCUGGAUACAAAAGGAAUGUGCCAAAUACAGUGAAUAAUGCAACAAAGAGAUGCAAAGCCUGGCUGUAAGAAUGAAACAGCAUUAUGAAAAAUGCUCCUCAGAAGGUAAUGGCUUUGAAGAUGAUGAUGUGGACACAUCUUUGAACAAUCUGGAUCAACUGGGUCCAGUUUAGGUAUAAGGAGUUAUGAAUAUCCAUCUGCAAUGUCUAUAACUUGAAAGUUACCUGCUGAUACCACCAGGAGUGCUGCAACUAAACAUGUCAGACGGUAAAUUAACUGCGUUAAGAAAUGCAUAGAUGAGUUCAUAAGCAGGACCAGCAAAUUCCAGCAAGAUAAAAUGACUCCAUAGAUUAAAGAUUGCUUGGUUCAUUUAUGCAAUAAAUUCUUCAUUUCGGCUUGUUCAAAGCAAACACUUCAUUUGACAUAGUUCAGUCAUUACAACCAGGCUGCACUGCACCUGGCCGAGCAGACAUUGUUGAAAGGUUGUUGAAUACAGUAUGAGAAAAGAGUGUGCAAAAAAAAAAACAUUGACCGGGAAACUUGGUAAUGUGCGUCUUGAUGUAUGGACCAAUAUAUGCAAUGAUCCAGUAAUUUGUUUUUGUGUGACAGACAACAACCCCAUCUUAUGUUAUUUUACAGACAUUGACACAUCAGGAAAUGCCUUUUCAGCAGAAUACUUAAAGUAGGAGUAAAAGCUGUAACAAACAGAACAAAAAUUAAACAGUUGAGCACAUAGCUUUGUUGCAGACAAUGCUGCAAAUGUAGCAAAGAUGAGAAGUCUAGAAGAAGAUAAUGAAGGGAACCUCAAACUUAUAACAUAUGGGUGUGCAAUGGUCCUUGAUUGCGUGUUUUAGCAAAGACUUAAGUACAACUUUUGGAAUAAAGGAAAACACUUCUGCCAUUGCGGAAAACUUCAUAACAACCACUGUGCUUCAGCUUCACUGAACAAAGCAUGAGGAUGAAACUAAUUCUCCCCCAAAAUGUGUGAUGGAAUUCAGGGUUGACUGUUUUGAGCUAUUAAUUAAAAAUUGGCCUCUUCUGAUAACUUUUUGAAGAAAAUCAUAACACAGUAGAUGGAACUCUCACAGCCAGUGUAGUUAACAUUUGGACUAAAGAGAACUGUAGAAGAUAUGCUGAAUAUGGAAAUAGGUUUCAGUAUAGCCUUGAGCAAACUGCAGAAAGAUUGCCGCUGUAUUGCUGAUGCUGUUGAAAUUUGGAAAGAACGUCAAGAGACAUUGAAGAAAGAAAUACCC
Long non-coding RNA from Dermochelys coriacea (leatherback sea turtle), 2029 nucleotides. RefSeq lists it as uncharacterized. The record is from RefSeq and is a predicted model, not a curated record. Lineage: Eukaryota; Metazoa; Chordata; Testudines; Dermochelyidae. The transcript has 2 exons.